UAAGACAGCUGAAUGAUAGUCGGGCUGUAAGACUCUACUUGGACUAGCUGAGAGGAGGUGCAUGGCCGUCGUCAGUUCGUACUGUGAAGCAUCCUGUAAGUCAGGCAACGAGCGAGACCCACGCCAACAGUUGCCAGCUCGUCCUCCGGGAUGGUGGGGACACUGUUGGGACCGCCUCUGCUAAAGAGGAGGAAGGAAUGGGGCAACGGUAGGUCAGCAUGCCCCGAAUUAUCUGGGCUACACGCGGGCUACAAUGGGUGGGACAAUGGGUAUCGACACCGAAAGGUGAAGGCAAUCUCCUAAACCCAUCCGUAGUUCGGAUUGUGGGCUGCAACUCGCCCACAUGAAGCUGGAAUCUGUAGUAAUCGUGUCUCAAAAUGGCACGGUGAAUAUGUCCCUGCUCCUU
RNAcentral lists this ribosomal RNA (406 nucleotides) under uncultured Methanomicrobiales archaeon. RNAcentral's name for it is "bacterial SSU rRNA". It matches the Rfam family "Archaeal small subunit ribosomal RNA", at positions 935 to 1338 of the family's 1478-position model. Lineage: Archaea; Methanobacteriati; Methanobacteriota; Methanomicrobia; Methanomicrobiales. The record is from RNAcentral.